This 512-nucleotide ribosomal RNA is filed under the name uncultured bacterium. RNAcentral's name for it is "partial 16S ribosomal RNA". It matches the Rfam family "Bacterial small subunit ribosomal RNA", at positions 28 to 507 of the family's 1533-position model. The record is from RNAcentral.
GAUGAACGCUGGCGGCGUGCCUAAUACAUGCAAGUCGAACGAAACUUCUUUAUCACCGAGUGCUUGCACUCACCGAUAAAGAGUUGAGUGGCGAACGGGUGAGUAACACGUGGGCAACCUGCCCAAAAGAGGGGGAUAACACUUGGAAACAGGUGCUAAUACCGCAUAACCAUAGUUACCGCAUGGUAACUAUGUAAAAGGUGGCUAUACUACCGCUUUUGGAUGGGCCCGCGGCGCAUUAGCUAGUUGGUAGGGUAAAGGCUUACCAAGGCAAUGAUGCGUAGCCGAAUUGAGAGGUUGAUCGGCCACAUUGGGACUGAGACACGGCACAAACUCCUACGGGAGGCAGCAGUAGGGAAUCUUCCACAAUGGGCGAAAGCCUGAUGGAGCAACGCCGCGUGGGUGAAGAAGGUCUUCGGAUCGUAAAACCCUGUUGUUAGAGAAGAAAGUGCGUGAGAGUAACUGUUCACGUUUCGACGGUAUCUAACCAGAAAGCCACGGCUAACUACGUG